Non-coding RNA from Cordylochernes scorpioides, 68 nucleotides. NCBI's taxonomy places the organism in Eukaryota, Metazoa, Arthropoda, Arachnida, Pseudoscorpiones, Chernetidae. The record is from the annotation of a GenBank genome assembly.
UCCAGGGUAGCCUAGUGAACAUGGCAUCGGUAAGCGGAAUACUAUGGGUUCGAUUCCCAUCUCUGGAC